GCUGCCCUUCACUUGGCCCGGGUCGCAAAAUCUUCAUUUGACUGCCUCUACGCUCAUCAUCGCUUAUUGUGAAUAUUCCAUCCUUCUGCUGCUGUACGACGUCCUGAAACUCUUCUUUACUCAGCCUUCUUAUAGGACAUAGACACUGUACUGUGCUGGUGGUCCCUGUCCUUUUCUGGCCCUUGUUGUGAGGAAUGUUUUCUUUUUUGUACUGAUGUUGAUGCAGCCACUUUGGUCCUUUCUUUGAGCCGCAAUGUCGUCUAAGAGGAACCCCAUCUUUAAUGACUGAUUGAAAAGCCUCAUCACCCCCCAUUGCUUAAGAACCUCUUAUCUUUAUCACUAGCCAUUAAUCAGUGACCACCGUUAUGAAAGCUCCAAGAUGCGCAUGAUGCAACUUCCUGGAUGGUGCUGAGCCUGUUUGUCAACAUGUGGAACCCACGUGUACUUAAGG
This is a long non-coding RNA of Magallana angulata, 451 nucleotides long. RefSeq lists it as uncharacterized. The record is from RefSeq and is a predicted model, not a curated record. Lineage: Eukaryota; Metazoa; Mollusca; Bivalvia; Ostreida; Ostreidae. The transcript is spliced from 3 exons.